UUUUUUUUAAGUUAGCUGUUUAUUUCAUCGUCGAAUGUCUUCAUGUAACAAUCAAGUCGAAUAACGAAAAUAUAACUGCUGUUCCUUGGAUUUACUGAUAAUUUUCUUGCCGUUGUUUGAUAUCCAGUCAAUAGUUUAUAUAAUUUAGAUACAGAAAUUAAAUUUUUAAAACUGUGAUUAAAUUUCAAAUAUUUCCUAUUCAUUCAUGC
Molecule: long non-coding RNA, 209 nt
Filed under: Mytilus galloprovincialis (Mediterranean mussel)
Lineage: Eukaryota; Metazoa; Mollusca; Bivalvia; Mytilida; Mytilidae
Source: RNAcentral